This 468-nucleotide ribosomal RNA is filed under the name uncultured bacterium. RNAcentral's name for it is "partial 16S ribosomal RNA". It matches the Rfam family "Bacterial small subunit ribosomal RNA", at positions 28 to 507 of the family's 1533-position model. The record is from RNAcentral.
GACGAACGCUGGCGGCGUGCUUAACACAUGCAAGUCGAACGGAAAGGCCCUGCUUUUGUGGGGUGCUCGAGUGGCGAACGGGUGAGUAACACGUGAGUAACCUGCCCUUGACUUUGGGAUAACUUCAGGAAACUGGGGCUAAUACCGGAUAGGAGCUCCUGCUGCAUGGUGGGGGUUGGAAAGUUUCGGCGGUUGGGGAUGGACUCGCGGCUUAUCAGCUUGUUGGUGGGGUAGUGGCUUACCAAGGCUUUGACGGGUAGCCGGCCUGAGAGGGUGACCAGCCACAUUGGGACUGAGAUACGGCCCAGAGUAGUACGGGAGGCAGCAGUGGGGAGUAUUGAACCAUGGGCGGAAGCCUGCUGCAGCGGCGCCGCGUGCGUGAUGACGGCAUUCGGGUUGUAACCCGCUUUCGCCUGUGACGAAGCGUGAGUGACGGUAAUGGGUAAAGAAGCACCGGCUAACUACGUG